Molecule: ribosomal RNA, 948 nt
Filed under: uncultured bacterium
Lineage: Bacteria
Description: bacterial SSU rRNA
Rfam family: Bacterial small subunit ribosomal RNA
Source: RNAcentral
AGAGUUUGAUUAGGGCUCAGAUUGAACGCUGGCGGCAGGCUUAACACAUGCAAGUCGAGCGGCAGCGGAAAGAAGCUUGCUUCUUUGCCGGCGAGCGGCGGACGGGUGAGUAAUGUCUGGGGAUCUGCCCGAUGGAGGGGGAUAACUACUGGAAACGGUAGCUAAUACCGCAUAAUGUCGCAAGACCAAAGUGGGGGACCUUCGGGCCUCACACCAUCGGAUGAACCCAGAUGGGAUUAGCUAGUAGGUGGGGUAAUGGCUCACCUAGGCGACGAUCCCUAGCUGGUCUGAGAGGAUGACCAGCCACACUGGAACUGAGACACGGUCCAGACUCCUACGGGAGGCAGCAGUGGGGAAUAUUGCACAAUAGGGGAAACCCUGAUGCAGCCAUGCCGCGUGUGUGAAGAAGGCCUUCGGGUUGUAAAGCACUUUCAGCGGGGAGGAAGGCAAUGGCGUUAAUAGUGUCAUUGAUUGACGUUACCCGCAGAAGAAGCACCGGCUAACUCCGUGCCAGCAGCCGCGGUAAUACGGAGGGUGCGAGCGUUAAUCGGAAUUACUGGGCGUAAAGCGUACGCAGGCGGUCUGUUAAGUCAGAUGUGAAAUCCCCGGGCUUAACCUGGGAACUGCAUUUGAAACUGGCAGGCUAGAGUCUCGUAGAGGGGGGUAGAAUUCCAGGUGUAGCGGUGAAAUGCGUAGAGAUCUGGAGGAAUACCGGUGGCGAAGGCGGCCCCCUGGACGAAGACUGACGCUCAGGUACGAAAGCGUGGGGAGCAAACAGGAUUAGAUACCCUGGUAGUCCACGCUGUAAACGAUGUCGAUUUGAAGGUUGUGGUCUUGAGCCGUGGCUUUCGGAGCUAACGCGUUAAAUCGACCGCCUGGGGAGUACGGCCGCAAGGUUAAAACUCAAAUGAAUUGACGGGGGCCCGCACAAGCGGUGGAGCAUGUGGA